RNAcentral lists this ribosomal RNA (643 nucleotides) under uncultured Actinomycetes bacterium. RNAcentral's name for it is "bacterial SSU rRNA". It matches the Rfam family "Bacterial small subunit ribosomal RNA", at positions 232 to 886 of the family's 1533-position model. The record is from RNAcentral. Lineage: Bacteria; Bacillati; Actinomycetota; Actinomycetes.
CGCGGCCUAUCAGCUUGUUGGUGAGGUAAUGGCUCACCAAGGCAACGACGGGUAGCCGGCCUGAGAGGGUGACCGGCCACACUGGGACUGAGACACGGCCCAGACUCCUACGGGAGGCAGCAGUGGGGAAUAUUGGACAAUGGGCGAAAGCCUGAUCCAGCAACGCCGCGUGAGGGAUGACGGCCUUCGGGUUGUAAACCUCUUUCAGUAGGGACGAAGCGAAAGUGACGGUACCUACAGAAGAAGGACCGGCCAACUACGUGCCAGCAGCCGCGGUAAUACGUAGGGUCCGAGCGUUGUCCGGAAUUAUUGGGCGUAAAGGGCUCGUAGGCGGUUUGUCACGUCGGGAGUGAAAACUCAGGGCUCAACCCUGAGCGUGCUUCCGAUACGGGCAGGCUAGAGGUAUGCAGGGGAGAACGGAAUUCCUGGUGUAGCGGUGGAAUGCGCAGAUAUCAGGAGGAACACCGGUGGCGAAGGCGGUUCUCUGGGCAUUACCUGACGCUGAGGAGCGAAAGCAUGGGGAGCGAACAGGAUUAGAUACCCUGGUAGUCCAUGCCGUAAACGGUGGGCGCUAGGUGUGGGGACCUUCCACGGUCUCUGUGCCGCAGCUAACGCAUUAAGCGCCCCGCCUGGGGAGUACGGA